CCCGCUGAACUUAAGCAUAUCAAUAAGCGGAGGAAAAGAAACUAACAAGGAUUCCCCUAGUAACUGCGAGUGAAGCGGGAAGAGCUCAAAUUUAAAAUCUGGCCGCCUUUGGUUGCCCGAGUUGUAGUCUGGAGAAGCGUUUUCCGUGUUGGACCGUGUACAAGUCUCUUGGAACAGGGCGUCAUAGAGGGUGAGAAUCCCGUCUUUGACACGGACUACCAAUGCUUUGUGAUGCGCUCUCAAAGAGUCGAGUUGUUUGGGAAUGCAGCUCAAAAUGAGUGGUAAAUUCCAUCUAAAGCUAAAUAUAGGCGAGAGACCGAUAGCGAACAAGUACCGUGAGGGAAAGAUGAAAAGCACUUUGGAAAGAGAGUUAAACAGUAUGUGAAAUUGCUGAAAGGGAAACGCUUGAUGUCAGUCACGUUGGCUAGGGAUCAACCUUGCUUCUCGCUGGGUGUAUUUCCUAGUGGACGGGUCAGCAUCAGUUUCGGUCGCUGUACAAGGGCAAAGGGAACGUGGCACUCCUUGGAGUGUGUUAUAGCCUUUCGUCGUAUGCAGUGGUUGGGACUGAGGAACUCGGCACGAAAUCUAUUUUGUGCUUAGGAUGCUGGCAUAAUGGCCUUAAGCGACCCGUCUUGAAACACGG
Molecule: ribosomal RNA, 643 nt
Filed under: uncultured fungus
Lineage: Eukaryota; Fungi
Description: eukaryotic LSU rRNA
Rfam family: Eukaryotic large subunit ribosomal RNA
Source: RNAcentral